UUUCCGUAGGUGAACCUGCGGAAGGAUCAUUAAUGAGUUGUCAUGGGGUUCGAUGCUGGCAGCCAAUUUUUGUCUUCAUGUGCUUGCUCUAACAAUCCUCUUCCAAACACCUGUGCACAUUUUUGAGGGAGUCUUGAGUUGGUUGCCGCUCUUGGGUGAUUUUCUCACAUUCCCUUAAAUCAUUAUACGCUAUUAACAAUGUUGAACGUGCUCUGUGCUACAAGGAUAUUAAUAUAAUACAACUUUUAACAACGGAUCUCUUGGUUCUC
Molecule: unclassified non-coding RNA, 269 nt
Filed under: plant metagenome
Description: partial contains small subunit ribosomal RNA, internal transcribed spacer 1, and 5.8S ribosomal RNA
Source: RNAcentral